Molecule: non-coding RNA, 112 nt
Organism: Acanthosepion pharaonis
Lineage: Eukaryota; Metazoa; Mollusca; Cephalopoda; Sepiida; Sepiidae
Source: the annotation of a GenBank genome assembly
ACACCCAUACCACAUUGAAACACCGGUUCUCAUAUGAUCACUGAAGUUAAGCAAUGCCAAGCUUGCUCAGUAUCUAGAUGGGUGAUCACUUGGCACUACCAGGUGCUGUAAG